Molecule: non-coding RNA, 491 nt
Organism: Misgurnus anguillicaudatus (oriental weatherfish)
Lineage: Eukaryota; Metazoa; Chordata; Actinopteri; Cypriniformes; Cobitidae
Source: RefSeq, a predicted model, not a curated record
GUAAGGCAGAUUCACAGCACUAGAACACACUGCAGAUGAACUACGCUUUUAUUGGUGUAGUGUUAGUAUCCAGCUUGCUGCUGUUGUCAUGGCGACACAUCCUUCCUCCGUCACUCAAACCAACAAACAGGAGGACGACACAACGUUUCAAUCUUCUUCUUCUGUCUGUGUGCAGAUAGUUUUAAGAGGCAAGUCAGAGAUUACAGCACACGGAUGACAUCUUUGAACGGAAACGAUCGCUUGAGUCGCACACAUGCAGAUAAACCACAGCAGGACCUGUUGCAUUCCUCGACGGCUAAUGGAUUUUCAACAGGCAAGAGCUGCUCGCAGUCAAGAAUGACAUGAUCACAGUGAGAAACCUGUUGCAGCUGAUCAGUCCAGUGAAUGCUCGGAGUCUCCUCAUCACUGCAGAAGAGAGAGAGACAGAGAGAGAGCGUGCGAGUCCUGCAUGCAGCCAGCAGGACCUCCAAACGCUCGGCUUCACUGAUCCU